CCAAUAGCGUAUAUUAAAGUUGCUGCAGUUAAAAAGCUCGUAGUUGAAUUUCGGGACUGAUAUGUCGGUCGUGCCUCGGUACGUACUGGUAUUUUUGGUUUCUCCCUUCUGACGAACCUUGAUGUCAUUAAUUUGGUGUCUUGGGAAAUCAGGACUGUUACUUUGAAAAAAUUAGAGUGUUUAAAGCAGGCUCACGCUUGAAUACAUUAGCAUGGAAUAA
RNAcentral lists this ribosomal RNA (220 nucleotides) under uncultured Glomus. Its description in RNAcentral is "partial small subunit ribosomal RNA". It matches the Rfam family "Eukaryotic small subunit ribosomal RNA", at positions 591 to 817 of the family's 1831-position model. Lineage: Eukaryota; Fungi; Glomeromycota; Glomeromycetes; Glomerales; Glomeraceae. The record is from RNAcentral.